RNAcentral lists this small nuclear RNA (143 nucleotides) under Jaculus jaculus (lesser Egyptian jerboa). Its description in RNAcentral is "U1 spliceosomal RNA (ENSJJAG00000006741.1)". It matches the Rfam family "U1 spliceosomal RNA". From Rfam's summary of the family: U1 is a small nuclear RNA (snRNA) component of the spliceosome (involved in pre-mRNA splicing). Its 5' end forms complementary base pairs with the 5' splice junction, thus defining the 5' donor site of an intron. There are significant differences in sequence and secondary structure between metazoan and yeast U1 snRNAs, the latter being much longer (568 nucleotides as compared to 164 nucleotides in human). The record is from Rfam by way of RNAcentral. Lineage: Eukaryota; Metazoa; Chordata; Mammalia; Rodentia; Dipodidae.
AUACUUACCUGGCAAGAGAAAUAGCCUGAUCACAAAGGUGGUUUUCCCAGGGCGAGGCUUAGCCAUUGCACUCCAGAUGUGCUGACCCCUGCAAAUGCGGGAAACUCACAUGCAUAAUUUGUGGUAGUGGAGGACUGCAUUUG